AAGAGUUGGUAGCAAGUUUUGAAAUCCUUUCUCACUUGACUUGACAUGAAUUUGACUAAAAAAUAUGAGAAAACUGAUGAUCACAAAUUUUCAUUUGACAACAAAUACCCCAAAAUAAAAUAAAAAUAAAAAUAUAGAAAGAAAAGAAAAGGCAAUAGACAUCUCUUUUUCAAAAACGUAAAAAAAAAAAAACUAAUCUGGGUGUGGUAGCCGGUUCCGGUGAUAUUGAUAUGC
RNAcentral lists this long non-coding RNA (234 nucleotides) under Capsicum annuum. RNAcentral's name for it is "long non-coding RNA (CANN_LNC008478)". Lineage: Eukaryota; Viridiplantae; Streptophyta; Magnoliopsida; Solanales; Solanaceae. The record is from RNAcentral.